GAAAUGCGAUAAGUAAUGUGAAUUGCAGAAUUCAGUGAAUCAUCGAAUCUUUGAACGCACCUUGCACCCUUUGGAAUUCCGAAGGGUAUGCUCGUUUGAGUGUCAUUGUACUCUCACACUCUCUGAUCCUUUGGAUUCGGGGAGCGGUGGACUUGGGUGCUUGCCGCUUUUCGUUGUGGCUCACCUCAAAUGCGUUAGUGCACCUCCUGGUUGGACAUAGUACGGCGUGAUAAGUAUCUUCGCCGGCACCUCGCAAGAGGGUGGCCGAUCGAGAGCUCUGUGCUUUCAAACCGUCUUCGGACAACCUCUGACAACUUGACCUCAAAUCGAGUAGGACUACCCGCUGAACUUAA
Molecule: unclassified non-coding RNA, 353 nt
Filed under: uncultured Sebacina
Lineage: Eukaryota; Fungi; Basidiomycota; Agaricomycetes; Sebacinales; Sebacinaceae
Description: sequence contains ITS1
Rfam family: 5.8S ribosomal RNA (bases 1-105)
Source: RNAcentral